Non-coding RNA from Potamilus streckersoni, 68 nucleotides. The record is from the annotation of a GenBank genome assembly. NCBI's taxonomy places the organism in Eukaryota, Metazoa, Mollusca, Bivalvia, Unionida, Unionidae.
GGUGGUCUAGUAGUCAAAAUGUCCGUCUCAGAUGCGGGAGGUCGUGGGUUCGAUUCCCGGCGGAGUCA